RNAcentral lists this ribosomal RNA (440 nucleotides) under uncultured bacterium. RNAcentral's name for it is "partial 16S ribosomal RNA". It matches the Rfam family "Bacterial small subunit ribosomal RNA", at positions 338 to 795 of the family's 1533-position model. The record is from RNAcentral.
CCUACGGGUGGCAGCAGUGGGGAAUAUUGCACAAUGGAGGAAACUCUGAUGCGGCAAUGCCGCGUGAGUGAUGACGGCUUUCGGGUUGUAAAGCUCUUUCUUCAGGGACGAUAACGCCGAUACGUGAGGAUGAAGCCACGGCUAACUACGAGCCAGCAGCCGCGGUAAUACGUAGGUGGCGAGCGUUGUCCGGAUUUACUGGGCGUAAAGGGAGCGUAGGCGGACUUUUAAGUGAGAUGUGAAAUACUUGGGCUCAACUUGAGUGCUGCAUUUCAAACUGGAAGUCUAGAGUGCAGUAGAGGAGAAUGGAAUGCCUAGUGUAGCGGUGAAAUGCGUAGAGAUCAGGAAGAACACCAGUGGCGAAGGCGAUUCUCUGGACUGUAACUGACGCUGAGGCUCGAAAGCGUGGGGAGCAAACAGGAUUAGAUACCCCUGUAGUC